RNAcentral lists this long non-coding RNA (1039 nucleotides) under Amborella trichopoda. Its description in RNAcentral is "long non-coding RNA (ATRI_LNC004965)". The record is from RNAcentral. Lineage: Eukaryota; Viridiplantae; Streptophyta; Magnoliopsida; Amborellales; Amborellaceae.
AUUAAGGUUAAAAUGAAUUUUCAAACUAUUGUAAAGUUUUCAAGGCUAAAACUACGUCUUCCAGCAAACUUGAGAGGUGUCUUAGUCAUACAUUAUAAGGUGGGCACCUAAUCAAAACCUCCUGCUUACUUAAAAAUUCUAAGAGAUUUCAUGCUCCCCAUCAAGAAAUACAAAACGGGGGCUCAAUUUUGCAAAAAUAUUUCGGCCGAAACCCGAAAUAUCGAACCUUGGAUCUAUCAAUACGUGGGCAUACCCACUUUUUUAUACUUGCAAGUGUAUGUACACAACAGAACUCUUUUACAGAAGAUAACAAUUAAUGGACGGUUCGAUCUUCUAGAUGCGAGCACCUUCCUUCGAUCGCCAUCGUCCAUUUUAGAGCAAAAACCAAACAAUGUGAAGCCUCUUAUACAUGUCAAAAUCCAGUGAUAAAAAUACAGAGGCUUUUCCCUCGCUGAAGAGCUCGCCGAGAAAUCCAUUUUCCGGCAAAUGCAUGCUUUUUCCGUCGAAUUCUAGGGGGAAGAGAAGGCGUCACUUGCCGGAAUAUUCGCCGGAUCGCCGGAAAAUGGCUGGCUAAGGAAGCUCUGGAUGACGUUUCGGACCUUAUUGAUCCUUUUCCGCUGGCGAAUUCGACGAAGAACGAUCUCUUUGUCUAAUGGCUGACUUUGAGACUCUGAAACUGAAGAUCUGAGCUUAACGGACCUCGUUACUCCUCUUCCUUGGACUUGAACCUCGUCAUGGCCUUCUUCUUGGAAACUAGGGUGUUCUUCUUUGCACAAGAAGUCUGGUUUUUUGAGAACAGACGCCAUUGAUGCAGCAAAAUUAGGGUUUCAAGGCUUGCAGAGGGGGUUGAGAAUGUCGGUUUUUGAGAAGCGUGACGGGGAGUGGGCGGGUUACAUAGGCGUUUUAUUUCAGUGGGAGUGAUGAUGAAAAAGCGGUAUUGGGAUGGGCGGUUUUGAGCAAAGCCGGUUUAUGAGUUUUAACUUUGGAUAAAGGAUUGUUUGUACGGUGGAAAAAUGGAAAUUAUUGGGGAGAAAACGAC